UCCCCAUGGCCUCCUCCAAACACCUUCUUUAGCCUCACCACAGGACCUUCCUCGUGGUGUCUGAUAAUGCUUGUUCUCCUUAGUUCUCCAGCAGUACACUGUCUCACUCUCAGCUCCGUAUGCCUCUUGUUCCCAGCUCCUCUCACACACACUUCCUCUCCUCUGGCUCCUUUC
Molecule: non-coding RNA, 174 nt
Organism: Chelonoidis abingdonii (Abingdon island giant tortoise)
Lineage: Eukaryota; Metazoa; Chordata; Testudines; Testudinidae
Source: RefSeq, a predicted model, not a curated record